UUUAAAGUAACAUAUUUAAUGUGAUAGAUUUAAGCUCUAUAUAUAGCCCAGCUCUUUAAAA
This 61-nucleotide transfer RNA is filed under the name Grandidierella osakaensis. RNAcentral's name for it is "tRNA-Leu". Lineage: Eukaryota; Metazoa; Arthropoda; Malacostraca; Amphipoda; Corophiidae. The record is from RNAcentral.